Molecule: ribosomal RNA, 253 nt
Filed under: uncultured bacterium
Lineage: Bacteria
Description: partial 16S ribosomal RNA
Rfam family: Bacterial small subunit ribosomal RNA
Source: RNAcentral
UACAGAGGGUGCAAGCGUUAAUCGGAAUUAUUGGGCGUAAAGCGUGUGUAGGUGGUAUAUCAAGUCGGUCGUGAAAACCCCGGGCUCAACCUGGGAAUUGCGAAUGAAACUGAUAAACUAGAGUGUGGAAGAGGGAAGUGGAAUUUCCGGUGUAGCGGUGAGAUGCGUAGAUAUCGGAAGGAACAUCAGUGGCGAAGGCGACUUCCUGGUCCAACACUGACACUCAGACACGAAAGCGUGGGGAGCAAACAGG